This is an RNA transcript of Brassica napus (rape), 1560 nucleotides long. RefSeq lists it as uncharacterized. Lineage: Eukaryota; Viridiplantae; Streptophyta; Magnoliopsida; Brassicales; Brassicaceae. The transcript is spliced from 2 exons. The record is from RefSeq and is a predicted model, not a curated record.
AAGUUAACGAAAGUCUAAAACUUUCAAAAUCUUCUCUCUGCUGGAUCGAGAAGAGUGUUUAACCUUUGGAGCUCUCUCUCUUUAAGUCUAUCGCAUUCGAUUCGAAUCCCACCUUUGAUUUCGUUCCUUGGUAGUGGUCCCCCCCCCCUCACUCAGUUCGCCGCCGUUAGCUGCCGAAGCUUGUCUCCGUCGGUGAAUUUUGGUCAAUUGAGAGAGAUUUGCAAUGGAGAAAGUUGCUUCUCUCCGGUGCCAAAGUAAAGAACUUUGUGUGAAAUGAGUUGGUUUUUCACUCAAGAAAUGGUUAUACAUGUUAUGUUGGGUGAACUUGUAAGUUUGAAUAUGAGCAAUGGAGUUGGGGAAGGUGGAAGAAGUCAGAGCAGAGAAUCUCACGGCAAGAGAGAGCUUUUUCAAGGCAGUGAUUUCGCUUACGCUUUAGGGAGAAUAGCAGUGGCUCAGAUUUGCGAGAGUGUAGAGGUUAAUGUGUCUCAGCAAUCACAGAAGGGGGUUAGGUUUAGUUCUUUUCAAGAAUCUGCUCUUGAUACGCUAACCGGCGUAGCGGUUCAGUAUAUCCAGAGCAUUGGGAAGGCUGCUCAGUUUUAUGCUAACGUGGCCGGUAGAGUAGAGGGUAACUCUCUGGAUAUUGUUCAGGCAUUAACGGAUUUGGGAUCUGGUUCUGGUGUUUCAGACAUUGAGUGUUGUCUUGGUGAUUCUGGUAUAGUCAAGGAUGUUAUUCGUUAUACAGGAGAAGCGGAGGAGGUGCCGUUUGUUUAUGCUCUUCCCCGUUUCCCAAUUAAUAAAGAGAAAAGAGAUUCUCCUAGUUUCUACGAGGUUGGAGCAGAACCUCCAUAUGAACACAUCCCUGUUUGGCUUCCUGCAUUUCCCGAAACUAAUGUAGGCACAAUCGAAGGAAAUGUGCCAUCUUUACCGAGUAUACAGCAUUCUUUCAAUGGUGGCGGGUUAGAAGUACUCAAAUCUCCAAAGAGUGCUCGAAAUUCAACACAAGGAGAAGAAGAAAUGGAAGGUAAUCCGUUUCUUGCCGCACCUCUUCGGUUUGUAGAGAAUGAAGUGUCACCUGUGGUCGUCCGCCUUCUGGAGCUUUCAAAUGAAGUUGUUGGCAUCAAUCACGUUCCUGAUAAGCAUACAAGCAACAACAACAGUCACAUCCCAGUUCUUGAGGCAUCUACUCCAUGUGAUGAUAUCAACAACAAGAACAAAUUAUCUGAAUCAGAGGAUGGAGAGAAGAAAGGUGGUGCAAGACCACAGCAAACUUUGUUGGUGUUUCAAGAUUGGGACUUUAAAGAGACCUUCGUGUUUGGCAAUAAAGGGGAGCGUCCAGGGACGUCGGUGGUUUCAAGAAGGUGAAGUCAAGAGGGAGAAGAAGUCAGAAACCGAAGAAAAUGGUGAAAGAUUUGACUUGGCAAAUCUCGGCCCAGAUGUUGUUAUAUAGGUAUUGUCAUUUUACAAUUUGUAGACAGAAUAGCUUUUACAUCCUGAGAAUAAAGAGAAGAUUGCUUGGCCUCUAACUUAGUUUGUUAUUAUGAUUGACCAAUUCAUAUGCUC